CCGCAGGCUUGGAUUGGGUGGCCAGGUGCAGUGUCUUCUCGCGAGACUUAAUCUUUCUGGAAGAAGUGAGCCCUGAAGCUAAUUUUGGAGCACCCAGGCUGAGUCAUCAAGGCCUCUAGCUAACAGUCAAACAGCAAGUGAUGGGCACCACCAAUUUCCAGCAUUGGUUCUCAACGGCACUACUUCACAGCAUGGAGAGACUUAUUUCCUGCCACGAUUUAGGGUGCCGUCCAGCAUCAUCUGAGGUUAGACAUCAAGGAUACAGCUCAACAUUCUGUCGUGCGUGAGGUAUUCCCCCCGAAUCCACGAAUGCUCCAGCUUGUGAACAGCCGAGGUGAGGAAGGCUGGUUCGCAGGGAAGAAGCUACCCCCAAACCCCAAGAGUUUCACCUGCAGAGAAAGCUUUCCUAUGGGAUGCAUUCUGAAGCUGUGUUCUAGCUUCCUCUUUAUUAGGAGCUGGGUGUGAUGCAGACUCUGAAUUCUGCAACAAUAGUCACUGCAUA
Non-coding RNA from Peromyscus maniculatus bairdii (prairie deer mouse), 502 nucleotides. The record is from RefSeq and is a predicted model, not a curated record. Lineage: Eukaryota; Metazoa; Chordata; Mammalia; Rodentia; Cricetidae.